This 791-nucleotide ribosomal RNA is filed under the name uncultured bacterium. Its description in RNAcentral is "bacterial SSU rRNA". It matches the Rfam family "Bacterial small subunit ribosomal RNA", at positions 8 to 796 of the family's 1533-position model. The record is from RNAcentral.
AGAGUUUGAUCAUGGCUCAGAACGAACGCUGGCGGCGUGCCUAAUACAUGCAAGUCGCACGAGAAAGUCCUUCGGGAUGAGUAGAGUGGCGCACGGGAGAGUAAUGCGUAGGAACGUACCUUUUGGUGGGGGAUAACCACGGGAAACUGUGGCUAAUACCGCAUAAUGACGUGAGUCUAAAGAAGGCCUCUAUUUAUAAGCUUUCACCAAUUGAGCGGCCUACGUCCCAUUAGCUAGUUGGCGGGGUAACGGCCCACCAAGGCGACGAUGGGUAGCUGGUCUGAGAGGAUGACCAGCCUCACUGGGACUGAGACACGGCCCAGACUCCUACGGGAGGCAGCAGUAGGGAAUUUUGCACAAUGGGCGCAAGCCUGAUGCAGCAACGCCGCGUGAGUGAAGAAGGCUCUUGGGUUGUAAAGCUCUUUCGGCUGGGAAGAAGGGAUUAGCUGCGAACAGUUGCUAAUUCUGACGGUACCAGAAGAAGAAGGACCUGCUAACUUCGUGCCAGCAGCAGCGGUAAUACGAAGGGUCCAAGCGUUGUUCGGAAUUACUGGGCGUAAAGCGUGCGUAGGCGGGUCAGAAAGUCGAUUGUGAAAUCCCUGGGCUUAACCUAGGAACUGCAGUCGAAACUCCUGAUCUUGAAUGUCUGAGAGGAUGGCGGAAUUCCCGGUAGUAGUGAAAUACGUAGAUAUCGGGAAGAACACCUGAGGCGAAGGCGGCUAUCUGGCGGUACAUUGACGCUGAUACACGAAAGCGUGGGGAGCAAACAGGAUUAGAUACCCUAGUAGUCC